GACGAACGUUGGCGGCGUGCUUAAUACAUGCAAGUCAACUGAAGCAGUGGUAGCAAUAUCGCUGUGGAGGUGGCGCACGGGUGAGUAACACGUAGGUAAUCUGCCUUCAGGUCUGGCAUAACUCCGGGAAACCGGGGCUAAUAGCAGAUGAUGCAGCGGCUCGACAUCGAGACAGUUGUUAAAGCUAUGGCGCCUGAAGAUGAGCCUGCGUCUGAUUAGCUAGUUGGCGGGGUAACGGCCCACCAAGGCAACGAUCAGUAGCUGGUCUGAGAGGAUGAACAGGCACACUGGAACGGAGACGCGGCCCAGACUCCUACGGGAGGCAGCAGUAAGGAAUAUUGCUCAAUGGGAGAAAUCCUGAAGCAGCAACGCCGCGUGAGGGACGAAGGGCGUUUGCUUGUAAAACUCUGUAGUGAGAGAAAAAAAUCCCAAUCUUUGGGACAUGAUGGUAUCUCAAAAGUAAGCCCCGGCUAACUACGUG
RNAcentral lists this ribosomal RNA (481 nucleotides) under uncultured bacterium. RNAcentral describes it as "partial 16S ribosomal RNA". It matches the Rfam family "Bacterial small subunit ribosomal RNA", at positions 28 to 507 of the family's 1533-position model. The record is from RNAcentral.